GACGAACGCUGGCGGCGUGCUUAACACAUGCAAGUCGAACGGAAAGGCCCUGCUUUUGUGGGGUGCUCGAGUGGCGAACGGGUGAGUAACACGUGAGUAACCUGCCCUUGACUUUGGGAUAACUUCAGGAAACUGGGGCUAAUACCGGAUAGGAGCUCCUGCUGCAUGGUGGGGGUUGGAAAGUUUCGGCGGUUGGGGAUGGACUCGCGGCUUAUCAGCUUGUUGGUGGGGUAGUGUCUUACCAAGGCUUUGACGGGUAGCCGGCCUGAGAGGGUGACCGGCCACAGUGGGACUGAGAUACGGCCCAGACUCCUACGGGAGGCAGCAGUGGGGAAUAUUGCACAAGGGGCUGAAGCCUGAUGCAGCAACGCCGCGUGCGGGAUGACGGCCUUCGGUUUGUAAACCGCUUUCGCCUGUGACGAAGCGUGAGUGACGGUAAUGGGUAAAGAAGCACCGGCUAACUACGUG
This 468-nucleotide ribosomal RNA is filed under the name uncultured bacterium. RNAcentral describes it as "partial 16S ribosomal RNA". It matches the Rfam family "Bacterial small subunit ribosomal RNA", at positions 28 to 507 of the family's 1533-position model. The record is from RNAcentral.